AUGAACGCCCCUGUGCUGGCUUACCAACGGCCCAGCUGCCUAGGGGAGCAGAUUCGGGUAGCCCAGCCAACGAUCCAUCGCGCCCGCGGCCAGGGCGCAGGCGCAGCCCCUCUGGCCUGUCCUGCAGUUAGCUCCCAGCCGGGGCACGUCUGCGCAGGUUCCUGCCGAGUCCGUGGUCAGUGCGUGGGAGCCAGUGGUCUCGGGGCAGUGAGAAUCGCUGCGUGCUGGGGUUGCGGCUUUCUCCUGGUGGCCUGUCACUUCUCAGGAGCCUGCUCCAGACAGAUACCUAGGAGAAAAGCGAAGAACUAGUUCAUUCCUAAAAGUCAUGCUGUAGGUAAGUUGGAGUUUUCUUAAUUUUUUUCUCAUAAAUGAUUGAACUACAGAAAGCUUUGCCUUCUUUUUUCCUAGAACCUCUUUGCUCACCAAAGGGAACUGACCCUAAUGCCUGUUCUGGAGGACAGGAAUGGGCUGAGCCCAUCAUGGGGACA
This 488-nucleotide long non-coding RNA is filed under the name Chinchilla lanigera (long-tailed chinchilla). Its description in RNAcentral is "lncRNA (ENSCLAG00000023725.1)". Lineage: Eukaryota; Metazoa; Chordata; Mammalia; Rodentia; Chinchillidae. The record is from RNAcentral.